Molecule: long non-coding RNA, 998 nt
Organism: Sinocyclocheilus grahami
Lineage: Eukaryota; Metazoa; Chordata; Actinopteri; Cypriniformes; Cyprinidae
Exons: 3
Source: RefSeq, a predicted model, not a curated record
AUGCCUCCAGUUGGUCAUCACAGGAUGAGUCGCUCAUUUUAUUUAUGAAAAUAAUAAAACUCUGCUGUAAAGUAUACAAAGACACUUCUUCAGUUCUUUAUUCAUAGAAAAUAAAGGCUUGUAAGUUCCCUCAUAUUAUAUUAUAUUAUAUUAUAUUAUAUUUCAGGUCUGCUGAGCUCCAGUGUGAAUGAUUAGUGUGAUUAGUGAAUGAAAGAUGCACAAAAAAAAAAAUUCUACUUUUAAAAUGUUAUUUUUACAGCAGUGAAAAAUAUAAUUACAUGUUUUCCUGUAAAACAUAAAAAAUCAUCUUCAGCACAAAAUUCAUGAUCGUGACAGGCCUAAUGUUGUUCAAUUAGUUUUCUAUGCAAUACAGCACUGCACACAAGCAGGUCAUGUCAAGCACCCAAAAGCAUUUCAAGCAUUUCUGCUGAACAGGAAAUGAUCCUCCUGCACUACAGACUGCCAUUGUAUUCUAAUACUGACAUGAGCGACAAACACGAAUCAGAGCACUACAGCAGGUGAAGAGGUUUCUGAGCAAGCUGAUUGGCUGAUUGAGUUAUCGGCUGUGAUUAAUGAUCACUCCAGCUGCGGGCGUACAGCAGAAACCCCGUCCAGAAAUGCCUCAGAGAGGAAGGAGAUUUGUGGAGGGGGGCAUGAGGAGCCUUGCUGGGCUGCAGAGGAGGCAGAUUGAUUGACAGACACUGAUACAGGGCUGGGUGAGUGAUGGGUGUUCCUAGUCAGGUCUCUGAUGUGACAACAAAAAGGCUCAAUCCUUAAUUUCUUUUAGAAGUAUUUUAUUAUACAAAUGUAUGUGCUUAUCUCAUAUUCUUGACUUGAGAGUGAAUCAGAACACUUCAGAUUAUGGUUUGAUUUUGGUUUCAGUGAUUCACGAAACCCACCCUCACCCAGCAUCCUAGUGGUGAGUCUGAUCUGACCAAGCACACGCGCGCACACACACACACACACACACACGCACGCACGCAGGUUUGUUUUUGUGA